RNAcentral lists this ribosomal RNA (973 nucleotides) under Bacillus pumilus. Its description in RNAcentral is "bacterial SSU rRNA". It matches the Rfam family "Bacterial small subunit ribosomal RNA", at positions 59 to 1025 of the family's 1533-position model. The record is from RNAcentral. Lineage: Bacteria; Bacillati; Bacillota; Bacilli; Caryophanales; Bacillaceae.
AAGUAAAGCGGACAGAGAGGAGCUUGCUCCGAUGUUAGCGGCGGACGGGUGAGUAAGUGGGUAACCUGCCUGUAAGACUGGGAUAACUCCGAGGAAACCGGAGCUAAUACCGGAUAGUUCCUUGAACCGCAUGGUUCAAGGAUGAAAGACGGUUUCGGCUGUCACUUACAGAUGGACCCGCGGCGCAUUAGCUAGUUGGUGGGGUAAUGGCUCACCAAGGCGACGAUGCGUAGCCGACCUGAGAGGGUGAUCGGCCACACUGGGACUGAGACACGGCCCAGACUCCUACGGGAGGCAGCAGUAGGGAAUCUUCCGCAAUGGACGAAAGUCUGACAGAGCAACGCCGCGUGAGUGAUGAAGGUUUUCGGAUCGUAAAGCUCUGUUGUUAGGGAAGAACAAGUGCGAGAGUAACUGCUCGCACCUUUACGGUACCUAACCAGAAAGCCACGGCUAACUACGUGCCAGCAGCCGCGGUAAUACGUAGGUGGCAAGCGUUGUCCGGAAUUAUUGGGCGUAAAGGGCUCGCAGGCGGUUUCUUAAGUCUGAUGUGAAAGCCCCCGGCUCAACCGGGGAGGGUCAUUGGAAACUGGGAAACUUGAGUGCAGAAGAGGAGAGUGGAAUUCCACGUGUAGCGGUGAAAUGCGUAGAGAUGUGGAGGAACACCAGUGGCGAAGGCGACUCUCUGGUCUGUAACUGACGCUGAGGAGCGAAAGCGUGGGGAGCGAACAGGAUUAGAUACCCUGGUAGUCCACGCCGUAAACGAUGAGUGCUAAGUGUUAGGGGGUUUCCGCCCCUUAGUGCUGCAGCUAACGCAUUAAGCACUCCGCCUGGGGAGUACGGUCGCAAGACUGAAAACUCAAGGAAUUGACGGGGCCCGCACAAGCGGUGGAGCAUGUGGUUAAUUCGAAGCAACGCGAAGAACUUACCAGGUCUUGACAUCCUCUGACAACCUAAAAUAGGCUUUCCUUCGGGA